UAAGAUUUUCAGCUCCAACUCCAUUAAAACACUUAGUCAAAAUGUAUCAAUUACAUGACUGUAAUUAAAUACUUUCCAGUACUCCUACUACUCCUAUUUGAUUCACAAGUUACCCCAACUUGUAAAACGAAAUGCACACUCUAACUCACUGAUUGUUUAUGACACUUGAUUACAACUCAAUUACCUAAAAUACAGUCACUAGACUGACCUGGAGAGAAUACAAUGCAAGUACUCAACGCAAGUAAAUAACUUAUGAUUCUUUAGUUGAAGUGCAAAAGGAUGAUUUAGAAGUCCAAAGUCAAUCCUAUUUAAACACGACUUGAGGUCUUCUAGGAGUCCUAUACAAAGUCAACUUCCUCUUUGAUAGGACUUCUACUGUUCCAAGAAUUCCACACGCUUUAGGACUUUAGUCUCUGACUAAAUUAUCCAUAUUCUCUGGGCAACGACCCUUAUCACUUAUAGUAGCCAUCGUCCACCAAAAUCGGAUCUGGGUACCUUUGAGAUAAAGUUAUUGUCUUGUACAAACGUACAAGUAUCACUCAGGAGGAGCUGGUUCUUUCUCCUGAGGAACAGAUUCUUCAGAACAGUUAAACAGCUACGUUGAGGACCUGGUUCUUUGAAUAUUUAGUCAUACUUUAUUAAUCAUCAAAAAUUUCAAUAUUCAACAAAUUUUCUCUUUUUGAUGAUGACAAAUUUUGUGCACAUCAGAACCAGAUAAUCACCUCCAAGAACUAAAUAAUCACAACAAGCACUAUUGACAGACAUGUAUGUUCACAGUAACUUCCAAACUUAUCUUUCCCCUUUUGGAAUCAUCGAAAACACACACAAGAAAAUGUUAGACACUAAGAACAGAUAAUGUAAUAUUCAAGGCCAAACAGGCGACAACACAAGCAUAAGAAAGGGCAAAUAAACUAGGCUGAUGAUCCAAUAAAGUACAACGCAGUAAAGCAGAGCAAUAGGAGAUAUUAAGUAGUGCCAAAAGAAGCACAUGGCCUUGUCUUCAUCAUUACAACAAAAUAAACUAAGCAUACUGCAAACUACUCAGACUAAGACAAAAGGAACAAAAGAUAAGGCAUCACUAGAAUAGCAUAAACAAAAACUAAAUGUCACACCCCUUUUCUACCCCCAAAAGAUGUGUUUUAUGGAUUGUUGUAAGUUAAAGAGUUUUUUCAAUUAAGUGACAAACUUGAGUAGGGAUUAUUUUAUUUACAGAGUCGCCACUUGAAAUUGAGUUUUUAGGUGUUCCAAGUCGCCUUUUAUUUGAAUCCCUAGUCAAAGGAAGGUUUGACUCUAUUAUUAUUGGUCUGCGAAAAUAAAGUCCGGGUAAGGAAUUCUGUUGACCGGAGAGAAGGUGUAAGGCAUUCCCCGAGUCCCGUAGUCCUAGCACGGUCGCUUUAUUGACUAUAUUUGGCUUAUAUUAUUUCAGGAUAAACUGUGAUUUAUUGGUUUUUAUGUUUUAUCUAUCCACUUUUAUUGUUGAUGACUUUAUUAAUCUCAAACUAAGACGAGUAUCCCCGACCCUAACUUACACUAACCAAGACGAGUACCCCCGACCUUAGUUCGUGUGUCGCACCUAAAAUUGGAGCCUACUCGAAGUUAACUAAAUAACAAAGUUUUAAUUAAUUGAAAAAAUUGAAACAAAGCGUAUCCUCACGACCUUGCCAUUUUUAUUUAUGCCUUAAUGUUGGGAAAAUUAUGCAAAUAAAUGUUGGACCGAUUCUACCUAUUUUAAAGCAAUGGGCCAACAUCUUGUUAAAGGAGAAAUGGGCCAGCUUAGGGAUUUUAGAACUGUUGGACUACUGGAAUUCAUUAUAAGAAAAUGGGCCGGCUGAAAUUAUUUACAGGAAAUGGGCCAUUAUAUAUAUAUAUAUAGGGCUAGCUACCAUGUCAUUUAUGUUCGGCCAAACAGCUAAUCAUUCGGCCCAUAUUAAUUUACAACCUUGAUUUUCGUGUUAGCUCAGCCAAACAAACAUUUUGUAAUUCAACCUAACCACGGGACUAACCGAAUUUGAUAAUAAGCUUUACUACUGACACAUGGAAAAAUAAAACUAAGAAAGUCCAAUAACUAAGAAACUCAUCUCAACGAAUGGGCCAUGACAAACUUACUGACAAUGCUUGAUAAACUAAAGGCAAAUUCUUAAAAGAAAACUAUCUUACAAACUAUACCAAAGUACACAUGAUAUCCAUACGGAUUAAACUUAUUCUAUUAAUGAGAUUGUAAUUUUGACAAAAACAAAAUGGCCACCUUUCCAUACCCACCUUCCAGAAGUAUACAAACAUAACAAGGACUAAAGCACAUAGCUUUUAUAAAUGGAAAAAAAACUUAACAAAACUCCUAUUGCAGCCCAGUAAAGGAUGCAUCCUCUUGUUCUUUUAGACUAUAUACCAGAUCCGAAUAGUUCAAACUAACGACAAGGAAUAUGGAUAGAUGGAUCUGCACACUACAAAAUAAACUAAACUAUUUAACUACAACAAAGAAACUGAUUACAAAUAUGCAUGUUUAGCACUCAAACAUUCAGCGAAUCCUUUAAGAAAAUUUAGUCAAAACUAUCAAACAUGCCCAACUUUUCAUCAUCUGCUAUGAAAGAACAAGAACCUGCAUUACAAAUGUUUAGAAGGUUACCUGAAAAGCAGAAAUGCAGCAGUAACAGUAGCAGAAAUUCAGCAACAGAAGCAGUAGGAACAGCAGGGGAAACAGCGACAAAUCAACAAAUUGUGACCCGAGAAACAACCCAGAAAAUACCAGCAGUACAAUACUUGAAAACUAGUACUAAGUUGCUCUAGAAAUUAGCAGGAACACCUCUAUUUCUCACAAAUUUUGCACUCUAAGAAACACUCACAAAGCCCAGAAAUUUUCAGCUUACUACUUGUUGUUUAGCUGAUUUCUCUCAAGUUAUUUUUUUUGUUUCUUUUUUAGUGUGUAAAAGAUUUUUU
Molecule: long non-coding RNA, 2934 nt
Filed under: Nicotiana tabacum (common tobacco)
Lineage: Eukaryota; Viridiplantae; Streptophyta; Magnoliopsida; Solanales; Solanaceae
Description: long non-coding RNA (NTAB_LNC015577)
Source: RNAcentral